GACGAACGCUGGCGGCGUGCUUAACACAUGCAAGUCGAACGGAAAGGCCCUGCUUUUGUGGGGUGCUCGAGUGGCGAACGGGUGAGUAACACGUGAGUAACCUGCCCUUGACUUUGGGAUAACUUCAGGAAACUGGGGCUAAUACCGGAUAUGAGCUCCUGCUGCAUGGUGGGGGUUGGAAAGUUUCGGCGGUUGGGGAUGGACUCGCGGCUUAUCAGCUUGUUGGUGUGGUAGUGGCUUACCAAGGCUUUGACGGGUAGCCGGCCUGGGAGGGUUACCGGCCACAUUGGGACUGAGAGACGGACCAGACUCCUACGGGAGGCAGCAGUGGGGAAUAUUGCAAAAUGGGCGGAAGCCUGAUGCAGCAACGCCGCGUGCGGGAUGACGGCCUUCGGGUUGUAAACCGCUUUCGCCUGUGACGAAGCGUGAGUGACGGUAAUGGGUAAAGAAGCACCGGCUAACUACGUG
RNAcentral lists this ribosomal RNA (468 nucleotides) under uncultured bacterium. Its description in RNAcentral is "partial 16S ribosomal RNA". It matches the Rfam family "Bacterial small subunit ribosomal RNA", at positions 28 to 507 of the family's 1533-position model. The record is from RNAcentral.